RNAcentral lists this ribosomal RNA (253 nucleotides) under uncultured prokaryote. Its description in RNAcentral is "partial 16S ribosomal RNA". It matches the Rfam family "Bacterial small subunit ribosomal RNA", at positions 525 to 777 of the family's 1533-position model. The record is from RNAcentral.
ACGGAGGGGGCUAGCGUUGUUCGGAAUUACUGGGCGUAAAGCGCGCGUAGGCGGCUUUGUAAGUUAGAGGUGAAAGCCCGGAGCUCAACUCCGGAACUGCCUUUAAGACUGCAUCGCUAGAACGAUGGAGAGGUAAGUGGAAUUCCGAGUGUAGAGGUGAAAUUCGUAGAUAUUCGGAAGAACACCAGAGGCGAAGGCGACUUACUGGACCGGUAUUGACGCUGAGGCGCGAAAGCCAGGGGAGCAAACAGGA